CAGUCGCCGCGGGAAUACGAAGGGUGCAAGCGUUAAUCGGAAUUACUGGGCGUAAAGCGUGCGUAGGCGGUGAGUUAAGUCUGCUGUGAAAUCCCCGGGCUCAACCUGGGAAUGGCAGUGGAUACUGGCUCGCUAGAGUGUGUCAGAGGAUGGUGGAAUUCCCGGUGUAGCGGUGAAAUGCGUAGAGAUCGGGAGGAACAUCAGUGGCGAAGGCGGCCAUCUGGGACAACACUGACGCUCAUGCACGAAAGCGUGGGGAGCAAACAGGAUUAGAUACCCCCGUAGUCCCUGUCUCUUAUAC
RNAcentral lists this ribosomal RNA (301 nucleotides) under uncultured bacterium. RNAcentral's name for it is "partial 16S ribosomal RNA". It matches the Rfam family "Bacterial small subunit ribosomal RNA", at positions 509 to 807 of the family's 1533-position model. The record is from RNAcentral.